UUUCUUUAAAGAUUCUGAGAAGCUUCUCAAUGAUAUCACCAGAGCUCUAGAUCAGCAAAGCGUUCAUUUCAAAAAGAUUGAUGCUCAUGUUCACCAGUUCAAGGGUAGCAGCGCCAGCGUGGGUGCUCAGAGAGUCAAAAAUGCCUGUGUUGCUUUCCGCAACUUCUGUGAGGAACAGAACGCUGAAGGGUGAGUUAUUAUACUCUUACCUUUUUCUUUUUCUUUAUCAGCAAUUGAAUCUGAA
This is a long non-coding RNA of Alnus glutinosa, 244 nucleotides long. RefSeq lists it as uncharacterized. Lineage: Eukaryota; Viridiplantae; Streptophyta; Magnoliopsida; Fagales; Betulaceae. The record is from RefSeq and is a predicted model, not a curated record. The transcript has 3 exons.